RNAcentral lists this ribosomal RNA (443 nucleotides) under uncultured bacterium. Its description in RNAcentral is "partial 16S ribosomal RNA". It matches the Rfam family "Bacterial small subunit ribosomal RNA", at positions 338 to 795 of the family's 1533-position model. The record is from RNAcentral.
CCUACGGUAGGCAGCAGUGGGGAAUAUUGGGCAAUGGGCGCAAGCCUGACCCAGCAACGCCGCGUGAAGGAAGAAGGCUUUCGGGUUGUAAACUUCUUUUCUCAGGGACGAAGAAAGUGACGGUACCUGAGGAAUAAGCCACGGCUACCUACGUGCAAGCAGCCGCGGUAAUACGUAGGUGGCACGCGUUAGCCGGAUUGAUUGGGUGUAAAGGGCGUGUAGGCGGGAGCGCAAGUCAGAUGUGAAAACUCAGGGCUCAACCCUGAGCCUGCAUUUGAAACCGUGUAUCUUGAGUGCUGAGGAGGCGAUCGGAAUUACGUGUGUAGCGGGGAAAUGCGUAGAUAUACGGAGGAACACCAGUGGCGAAGGCGGAUUGCUGGACAGUAACUGACGCUGAGGCGCGAAAGCGUGGGGAGCGAACAGGAUUAGAUACCCUUGUAGUC